Molecule: ribosomal RNA, 324 nt
Filed under: uncultured bacterium
Lineage: Bacteria
Description: bacterial SSU rRNA
Rfam family: Bacterial small subunit ribosomal RNA
Source: RNAcentral
GAUGAACGCUGGCGGCGUGCUUAACACAUGCAAGUCGAACGAAGCGCUUAAGCUGAUUUCUUCGGAUUGAUUCUUAGGUGACUGAGCGGCGACGGGUGAGUAACGCGUGGGUAACCUGCCUCAUACAGGGGGAUAACAGUUAGAAAUGACUGCUAAUACCGCAUAAGCACACAGUACCGCAUGGUACAGAGUGAAAAACUCCGGUGGUAUGAGAUGGACCCGCGUCUGAUUAGCUGGUUGGCGAGGUAACGGCUCACCAAGGCGACGAUCAGUAGCCGGUCUGAGAGGAUGAACGGCCACAUUGGGACUGAGAUACGGCCCACG